This 77-nucleotide transfer RNA is filed under the name Bacteroides phage crAss001. Its description in RNAcentral is "tRNA-Phe". It matches the Rfam family "tRNA". Rfam says of the family: Transfer RNA (tRNA) molecules are approximately 80 nucleotides in length. Their secondary structure includes four short double-helical elements and three loops (D, anti-codon, and T loops). Lineage: Duplodnaviria; Heunggongvirae; Uroviricota; Caudoviricetes; Crassvirales; Steigviridae. The record is from RNAcentral.
GGAGAUUUGGUGUAGGUGGUUAUUUGCACGAUAGUCUGAAAAACUAUAGGCUUAAGUUCAAUUCUUAGAGUCUCCAU